RNAcentral lists this ribosomal RNA (486 nucleotides) under Cryobacterium sp. o13. Its description in RNAcentral is "bacterial SSU rRNA". It matches the Rfam family "Bacterial small subunit ribosomal RNA", at positions 26 to 512 of the family's 1533-position model. The record is from RNAcentral. Lineage: Bacteria; Bacillati; Actinomycetota; Actinomycetes; Micrococcales; Microbacteriaceae.
AGGACGAACGCUGGCGGCGUGCUUAACACAUGCAAGUCGAACGGUGAAGAGGAGCUUGCUCCUUGGAUCAGUGGCGAACGGGUGAGUAACACGUGAGCAAUCUGCCCUUGACUCUGGGAUAACUGCGGGAAACUGUAGCUAAUACCGGAUAUUACCUUGGAAGGCAUCUUCUGGGGUGGAAAGAAUUUUGGUCAAGGAUGAGCUCGCGGCCUAUCAGCUAGUUGGUGAGGUAAUGGCUCACCAAGGCGACGACGGGUAGCCGGCCUGAGAGGGUGACCGGCCACACUGGGACUGAGACACGGCCCAGACUCCUACGGGAGGCAGCAGUGGGGAAUAUUGCACAAUGGGCGCAAGCCUGAUGCAGCAACGCCGCGUGAGGGACGAAGGCCUUCGGGUUGUAAACCUCUUUUAGUAGGGAAGAAGCGACUGGGUUUUCCUGGGAGUGACGGUACCUGCAGAAAAAGCACCGGCUAACUACGUGCCAGC